GAUGAACGCUGGCGGCGUGCCUAAUACAUGCAAGUCGAGCGAACAGACGAGGAGCUUGCUCCUCUGACGUUAGCGGCGGACGGGUGAGUAACACGUGGAUAACCUACCUAUAAGACUGGGAUAACUUCGGGAAACCGGAGCUAAUACCGGAUAAUAUAUUGAACCGCAUGGUUCAAUAGUGAAAGACGGUUUUGCUGUCACUUAUAGAUGGAUCCGCGCCGCAUUAGCUAGUUGGUAAGGUAACGGCUUACCAAGGCGACGAUGCGUAGCCGACCUGAGAGGGGGAUCCACACCUGGGGAGUGAGGAACCGGCCCAACCCCCAAGGGGAGACACAGGUGGGAAUCCUUCGGGAUGGGGCAAAGGCCUAGCGGGGAAACGCGCGGGAGGGGUGAAAGUUCUAUGACUGGUAAACUCUUUUUGUUGGGGAGAAAAAAAUUUGUUGGAAACGUGGCCAGUUUGACGGUACCCAAAGAAGAAGCCCCGGCUAACUUCGUG
RNAcentral lists this ribosomal RNA (496 nucleotides) under uncultured bacterium. RNAcentral's name for it is "partial 16S ribosomal RNA". It matches the Rfam family "Bacterial small subunit ribosomal RNA", at positions 28 to 507 of the family's 1533-position model. The record is from RNAcentral.